GGAAGGCACAACAGAAUCGAGUUUCAAGACUGAAGUAGGCAUUAGCUGGCACGUCUGCCCACUUGAGCUAGAUGUCAGUAAGUGGUUGUAGACUUAGGUUGUACCUUCCACUCUUGGAUUACAAAGAACCAGACAUAAGGAUUUGAAGCUUUAGCAACAACUGUUGUGACAUAGGUGAAGGGCUGAAAAGAGCAUGAUUUCUUGAGCCAUGCUGUAAUGGGGCCAAAGCCAGGGCAGGGAUCGAGAGUUCCCUAGGAUGGCUUAAUACUGAGAGUUGCAAUAGAGCAGCUGGUAGGGGAGAAGGUGUGAUUCUCCACCAAUUUUGUAGCUGCAACUUUGAAAAUUCUGUACACAUUUAAAAGACAAGUUAAAGGUGGGUAAGUACAAAUCCCAUGUUUUUCUCCCAUCCUCUUCCUUUGACUAGUAAAUUAACUUUCUCCGUCAUAAUAUAGAUACACUAUCUGCCUUGCCCAAUAAUUGAUUGGAGAAUGCAGUCUCAUAAUUCGGGGGACUUAAGAAGGGCUGUUGCUCAGGGAUAAGCCAGCUGUG
RNAcentral lists this long non-coding RNA (549 nucleotides) under Phascolarctos cinereus (koala). RNAcentral's name for it is "lncRNA (ENSPCIG00000029818.2)". The record is from RNAcentral. Lineage: Eukaryota; Metazoa; Chordata; Mammalia; Diprotodontia; Phascolarctidae.